RNAcentral lists this ribosomal RNA (731 nucleotides) under bacterium IMCC7628. RNAcentral's name for it is "bacterial SSU rRNA". It matches the Rfam family "Bacterial small subunit ribosomal RNA", at positions 28 to 751 of the family's 1533-position model. The record is from RNAcentral.
AUUGAACGUGGCGGCAGGCCUUUAGACAUGCAAGUCGAACGGUAACAGCAGAGCUUGCUCUGGCUGACGAGUGGCGGACGGGUGAGUAACGCGUAGGAAUCUACCCAGUAGCGGGGGAUAGCCCGGGGAAACCCGGAAUAAUACCGCAUACGCCCCACGGGGGAAAGAGGGCCUCUUCUUGAAAGCUCUCACUAUUGGAGGAGCCUGCGUUGGAUUAGCUAGUUGGUGGGGUAAAGGCCUACCAAGGCGACGAUCCAUAGCUGGUCUGAGAGGACGAUCAGCCACACUGGAACUGAGACACGGUCCAGACUCCUACGGGAGGCAGCAGUCAGGAAUAUUGUGCAAUGGGGGAAACCCUGACACAGCCAUGCCGCGUGUGUGAAGAAGGCCUUAGGGUUGUAAAGCACUUUCAGUAGGGAGGAACUAGCAGCGUUAAUACCGCUGUGAGAUGACGUUACCUACAGAAGAAGAUCCGGCUAACUCCGUGCCAGCAGCCGCGGUAAUACGGAGGGAUCGAACGUUAAUCGGAAUUACUGGGCGUAAAGCGCGCGUAGGUGGUUUGUUAAGUGGGAUGUGAAAGCCCCGGGCUCAACCUGGGAACUGCAUUCCAAACUGACAAACUAGAGUACGAUAGAGGGGGGUAGAAUUCAGAGUGUAGCGGUGAAAUGCGUAGAUAUUCUGAGGAAUACCGGUGGCGAAGGCGGCCCCCUGGAUUGAUACUGACACUGAGG